RNAcentral lists this ribosomal RNA (484 nucleotides) under uncultured bacterium. Its description in RNAcentral is "partial 16S ribosomal RNA". It matches the Rfam family "Bacterial small subunit ribosomal RNA", at positions 30 to 507 of the family's 1533-position model. The record is from RNAcentral.
AUUGAACGCUGGCGGCAGGCCUAACACAUGCAAGUCGAGCGGACGAAGGGAGCUUGCUCCUGGCUUCCGCGACGGACGGGCGAGUAAUUCCUAGGAAUCUGCCUGAUCUUGGAGGCUAACGUCAGGUCACGGGCGCUAAUACAGCAUACGUCCAUAUAGUGAACGUGGUGGAUCUUCGGACCUCACGCUAUCAGAUGAGCCUAGGACGGAUUAGCUAGUUGGUUGGGUAACGGCCUACCAAGGCGACGAUCCGUAACUGACCUGAGAGGAUGAUCAGACACACUGGAACUGAGACACGGUCCAGACUCCUACGGGAGGCAGCAGUAGGGAAUCUUCGACAAUGGGCGAAAGCCUGACGGAGCCACGCCGCGUGAGUGAUGAAGGUCUUCGGAUCGUAAAGCACUGUUAGUUGGGAGGAAGGAAAGUAAGAUAAUAUAUGGAUGUCUUGACGGUACCUAAAGAAUAAGCACCGGCUAACUUCGUG